GCGCCCGUAGCUCAGUCGGUAGAGCAGCUCCCUUUUAAGGAGAGGGUCGCAGGUUCGAUUCCUGCCGGGCGCA
RNAcentral lists this transfer RNA (73 nucleotides) under Parcubacteria bacterium C7867-006. Its description in RNAcentral is "tRNA-Lys". It matches the Rfam family "tRNA". From Rfam's summary of the family: Transfer RNA (tRNA) molecules are approximately 80 nucleotides in length. Their secondary structure includes four short double-helical elements and three loops (D, anti-codon, and T loops). Further hydrogen bonds mediate the characteristic L-shaped molecular structure. tRNAs have two regions of fundamental functional importance: the anti-codon, which is responsible for specific mRNA codon recognition, and the 3' end, to which the tRNAs corresponding amino acid is attached (by aminoacyl-tRNA synthetases). tRNAs cope with the degeneracy of the genetic code in two manners: having more than one tRNA (with a specific anti-codon) for a particular amino acid; and 'wobble' base-pairing, i.e. permitting non-standard base-pairing at the 3rd anti-codon position. RNAcentral also lists the same sequence under 1 other name. The record is from RNAcentral. Lineage: Bacteria; Candidatus Parcubacteria.